CCACAGGACCACUCGCCAUGUGUAUUAAGCGUAUAGAAUCGUGUGUUGGAAAUUGCUCGUUCGUCACAUUUCGUAGCGGCAUUACGCUAAAUCUUCGUCCGUCUGCGAGUGAUCCUCAAGAUAUGUGUUCAAACAAAUAAAAAAGGAACGUCGAGACAGUCGUGGAAAUUCACGCAGCUCACGGCUUUACGACAUCGCCACCGACGAGAGAGCUCAAGGUUCUCUCUCGCCCCGCUAUGGGCCGGCCAUUCAUGAAGUGCGGCUGAGUGAGGCGCGGAGGCUACAGCGCAGCGGGCACGGGAAGAUGUUUAUAGCGGCGCUAAAUGACCGACGAUUAUUGAUGCGAGCUCUAAACGCCGAGGGCCACAUACCACCAGUGAAGCGUUCGCGCGCAAGGUUCAUUCCUCGAGUGACUUCUGUAAGAACAGGAUCCAAUCUACAUGCAUGUACGACAUCGGGUAGAUUCUGACGACAUAAGUAUCCAGAAGCUGCUUCUCUCUGGGCAAUAUCAUGAUGCAUAAACUACACAAGUGGUGGCUUUUAGCAGCAAUCCUCAUAUGCGUGGUUGCACGUGGUCAGAUGUUCCCUACCUCUGGGAUGGAACAUCCAACUAAACAACAGUUGAAUGAUAUUAUGGCAAGUGCUGGCAGUAUCGACAGACGUACGCAAUCCACUCUGGAUGACAAGGCGCCAAUGCCGUCUUCUUCGGUGAACGAUGGAAGCAAACAACAAAACGGAGAUGUGGAACGCGUUCUUGCCAUUCUGAGUGACAGAGCGAAGAAGGACGUGAUAAGUGAUAGAGCAAAAAGGGACAUGUUAUGGAACUAUGUGGAUCUGUUACUGAGAGCAUACCAGCUGGAGAAAACCAGAGCCAGAACCGACCAGUCUAGCAAAAUUGUUCAUCUUCGAAAUAAAUGCGAAACUGUGUUGACUAAACAGCAGAAGAUAGACUGCAUCAGAGGCAUACUUGUUGCUGAUGUGUUGCAGAAUAACAGUGCAAAGCGUGUGUCACAGGCUGUACGUGAUCCCAACCGUCCCAUACCAAAACAAAGGCGGCAGGUCACAAGCCAUGAGUUGGAAAGGCAGUUAUUUCAGCAACGGCAGAAAGCAGACCUUCUCCACCGUGAAACUCUGCUGUUUUUAGAAUUUUUGAAUUUUUCUCCCGUGUAACACUCUCAAUAGUUUUUACAAUUUAUUUAUAAUAUUAAAACUAAAACCUAAUUUGCAAAACUGUUCCUUCUAGUCUAAGUGCAUAUAAAUAGAAGUAGUGUGUAUAGCUGGUACGUACUGAUAUGUUAGGUAGGGCAACAUUCCAAAAAGUAUGAAUUCACUCCUGAUGUGCCAUACUUGAUUAAAAUAAAUGUUUGACACAGACAA
Molecule: RNA transcript, 1377 nt
Organism: Priapulus caudatus
Lineage: Eukaryota; Metazoa; Priapulida; Priapulimorpha; Priapulimorphida; Priapulidae
Exons: 2
Source: RefSeq, a predicted model, not a curated record